RNAcentral lists this ribosomal RNA (270 nucleotides) under uncultured prokaryote. RNAcentral's name for it is "partial 16S ribosomal RNA". It matches the Rfam family "Bacterial small subunit ribosomal RNA", at positions 506 to 776 of the family's 1533-position model. The record is from RNAcentral.
UGCCAGCCGCGCGGUAAGACGAGCUCUCCGAACGUUAUUCGGUAUCACUGGGCUUAAAGAGUUCGUAGGCGGUCUGGUAGGUGAGGUGUGAAAUCCCCCGGCUCAACCGGGGAACUGCGCUUCAAACCGCCGGACUUGAGGGAGACAGAGGUGGGCGGAACAGAUGGUGGAGCGGUGAAAUGCGUUGAUAUCAUCUGGAACACCGGUGGCGAAAGCGGCCCACUGGGUCUCAUCUGACGCUGAGGAACGAAAGCUAGGGUAGCGAACGGG